Molecule: ribosomal RNA, 361 nt
Filed under: uncultured bacterium
Lineage: Bacteria
Description: partial 16S ribosomal RNA
Rfam family: Bacterial small subunit ribosomal RNA
Source: RNAcentral
CCUACGGGAGGCAGCAGUGAGGAAUAUUGGUCAAUGGUCGGGAGUCUGAACCAGCCAAGCCGCGUGAGGGAUGAAGGUACAGAGUAUUGUAAACCUCUUUUGUCAGGGAACAAACGCGGGGACGCGUCCCCGGAUGAGUGUACCUGAAGAAUAAGCAUCGGCUAACUCCGUGCCAGCAGCCGCGGUAAUACGGAGGAUGCGAGCGUUAUCCGGAUUUAUUGGGUUUAAAGGGUGCGGAGGCGGUUUGUUAAGUCAGCGGUCAAAGGGCGGGGCUCAACCCCGGAACGGCCGUUGAAACUGGCAGUCUCGAGUUGGAGAGAGGUAUGCGGAAUGCGCGGUGUAGCGGUGAAAUGCAUAGAUA